UACGUAGGGGGCAAGCGUUAUCCGGAUUUACUGGGUGUAAAGGGAGCGUAGACGGCGGUGCAAGCCAGAUGUGAAAUCCAGGGGCUCAACCCCUGAACUGCAUUUGAAACUGUCGUUCUUGAGUACUGGAGAGGUUGACGGAAUUCCUAGUGUAGCGGUGAAAUGCGUAGAUAUUAGGAGGAACACCAGUGGCGAAGGCGGUCAACUGGACAGCAACUGACGCUGAGGCGCGAAAGCGUGGGGAGCAAACAGG
This 253-nucleotide ribosomal RNA is filed under the name uncultured Oscillospiraceae bacterium. RNAcentral describes it as "partial 16S ribosomal RNA". It matches the Rfam family "Bacterial small subunit ribosomal RNA", at positions 524 to 776 of the family's 1533-position model. Lineage: Bacteria; Bacillati; Bacillota; Clostridia; Eubacteriales; Oscillospiraceae. The record is from RNAcentral.